AAGACCUUGCGCUUUUGGAGCGGCCGAUGUCUGAUUAGCUAGUAGGUGGGGUAAUGGCCUACCAAAGCUUCGAUCAGUAGCUGGUCUGAGAGGACGGCCAGCCACACUGGGACUGAGACACGGCCCAGACUCCUACGGGAGGCAGCAGUGGGGAAUUUUGGACAAUGGGCGCAAGCCUGAUCCAGCCAUGCCGCGUGAGUGAAGAAGGCCUUCGGGUUGUAAAGCUCUUUCAGCCGGGAAGGAAAGGUUGCGAUUAAUAAUCGCAAUUGAUGACGGUACCGGAAGAAGAAGCACCGGCUAACUACGUGCCAGCAGCCGCGGUAAUACGUAGGGUGCGAGCGUUAAUCGGAAUUACUGGGCGUAAAGGGUGCGCAGGCGGUUUUGUAAGUCAGAUGUGAAAUCCCCGGGCUUAACCUGGGAACU
This 423-nucleotide ribosomal RNA is filed under the name uncultured bacterium. Its description in RNAcentral is "bacterial SSU rRNA". It matches the Rfam family "Bacterial small subunit ribosomal RNA", at positions 207 to 622 of the family's 1533-position model. The record is from RNAcentral.